AUUGAACGCUGGCGGCAGGCCUAACACAUGCAAGUCGAGCGAGCCGCGGACGUGUGUGUCAUGUAUUGGGACCUGCCCGAUAGAGGGGGCUAACUACUGGAAACGGUGGCUAAUACAGCACUCCAUCAGCUGACCCCAUAUGGGUUUACCUGGUAGGUAAGGUAACGGGUUACCUAGGCGACGUUCCAUAGCUGGUCUGAGAGGAUGAUGAUCCACACUGGGACUGAGACACGGCCCAGACUCCUCAGGGAGGCAGCAGUGGGGAAUAGUGCACAAUGGGCGCAAGCCGGAUGCAGCCAUGCCGCGGGUAUGAAGAAGGCCUUCGGUUUGUAAAUUACUUUCAGUCGGGAGGCGUUACCGAAAGAAGAAGCACCGGCUAACUCCGUGCCAGCAGCCGCGGUAAUUC
Molecule: ribosomal RNA, 406 nt
Filed under: uncultured bacterium
Lineage: Bacteria
Description: partial 16S ribosomal RNA
Rfam family: Bacterial small subunit ribosomal RNA
Source: RNAcentral